AUCACGGUCUGGGAGGUUGUCCUCUGCGCCCUCAAAUACCUGGACACAGCUGUGUGGCUUCAGCAGCAUCUCCCUGAAGAGACAGAACAGACAGCAAGAGAUGGGGUACUCCAUAGAUUAAUCCGGAAACACCGAGAAGACCCUCCUUGACUCCUCCUCGCCACCAAGUGGGGCUGGAGCCACUUCCGGUCUUUUCCUGCCCGCACAUGCUCCGGAAGUAAUGUCAUCCUCUACCGGCGCCUUAGACCUUUCCGAGGGAACUUCGCUGCCACGUGAUGUCCGGUAGUGACCCGAGAAAUAAUGGCCCGCCACCACCUGGACCCGCCACUGCCCGGCCCAAGGACUUCUUCCGUGGGCCCUCGCGCCGUGGACUUACCGCCCCACCGCUCUGGGUCGCGGCUUCCGGUGCCGGAGACCGGAAGUACUCGCGGGUAGGGCGGGGCGGAAUCAGGAAGUGUGGGGUGAGAGGGGGCGGGGUUGGGGUGCUGCCGGGCGCAAGCUGUCGUGGGAGGGGGGUGUGAGGUUUGUGCGAGUGGGAACUAAGGCGUUUCCUCCGCUCGGACUUUUGGGAGGCUUGGGUGGAGCCACCUUCAGGCUGUAUUGCUUUCAUCUCUGCAACGGGGGCAAUAAUCUCUGACUCACCCAAUUGCCGUAAGCGCCCCCUCCUUUAUCCCGUAGGAUCCCAUCAGUCAGCAAAUACAUUCCUUCCUCCUGUUAGGUGCCCGGCAAUAGACUGAGCAAAGGGACUGAGAAUUACGAUUUCCCCACAAUUCACCCUUUCUGGAGCCAGAUUAAAUCAUCCCGGCUCCUCUCCACCUCUGUAAUCCCACAACUCUUUUGUGUUCACCCCUCUCCUCCGUGGCCAACCAAUUGCAUGAACCUCGAGCACACAAGCUGCCUGUAAACAAGAAUGACCCUGGGUCUCCCUUACCCUCUCCAUUCUCAGCCUGUGUCCACCCUUGAGCCUGACUUGAUGCCUUCCCGCAUUCAAAAGACAAGUCCUGACCAGACUCCAAAGACACAAAAGAGUUGUUUUUUUUUGUUUGUUUUGUUUUGUUUUUUUAACUGAUAUUCUCCUGGGGAGAUGGGGGGAGGGAGUUACAUCACAAAUCACACAGCAGACUUUCUAAAAAUCUUAAAACAUCCCCACCACCACCACCACCAGUUUCCCUUUGCAGCUGCCACAUCUCUCCAUAGGUCUCCAAACCAUGCUCUGUUCUCAUGAACUCCUCCUAACCCCUUCCCAGCUGUCUCCCUGGAUUUUUCUUUCCAAUUAUAACAGAGGACCUUUUAUUCCCUGUCACCCUCUCCCAAACUUCCCCUCUCCAUCAUCAAAACAAAGGCACCUUCAGGAGAAUCUGCCCUCCUUAGAUGUGGGGAGAUUGUCAAUACUUAAAAUUUCAGUUUUUCCUUGCUGAUAGUAAGUAGUCUUGGUUCAGCUUGCAUUUAUUCAUUCCUCCAGCAUUCAGCAGACAUUCCCUGACUUUCUAUGUAGGUCAAAUGCUACAGCUACUGGGAUGAGUAAGAAGUGGUACUUUGAGUUGAGAAUUUUACUCUGCUUUCGUAAUUGCAGACCCCCAUUACUAGAAGGAAUGUAUAUUUGAGCACCUCUCUCAUUAUUUAGUGCCAGAGACUCAUGAACAGAUACCAUUUACCAUGCCAAUGCUGUUCUGUCAGACUGUAAGCAGGAAGACUAAUUAUACCCAUGUUUUAAAUCCUUCUCCCACCCCACUACUCACAAGAUGUAUUUAACAGCAAGGUUUAAAUGCCCACUGGACUCUGAGUUUUUGGAAGGUGGUGACUUGGUCUAAUUUAUAUUUGCAUCUCUACUGCCUUGCAUAGGACCAGGCACUAAUAAAAGCUGGAAUUUCUAUAUUUUUUAUCUCCCA
Leopardus geoffroyi (Geoffroy's cat) is the source of this 1889-nucleotide long non-coding RNA. RefSeq lists it as uncharacterized. The record is from RefSeq and is a predicted model, not a curated record. The transcript is spliced from 2 exons. NCBI's taxonomy places the organism in Eukaryota, Metazoa, Chordata, Mammalia, Carnivora, Felidae.